UCGUACGAAGAAGGAAGUCGUACGAAGAAGGAUGUCGUACUAAGAAGGAUGUCGUACUAAGAAGGAAGUGGUCUCUCUGAGCCUCUGAUAAUCAAACCAGGUGAGGAUAAAGGGUAAGGACGUCCAGGGUGCAUCAGGGAGGCGAGGUUCACUUAAGGGAGCAGCAGAGGACCAGUGAGACCUCGGAUGACUCUGUAACUGGAUUUCAGAGCUUCUAAAGCUGCCGCUGAUGACAUUGUGGAGCCAUAGAUGAAACCGGAGAGAGGAAUCAAGUGUCAAAACCACCGCAAGAGCUCGUCUCCCUGCCUCUCUGCAUUUGGGGAGGAAAUCGCAGGUUUCUGCAGCGAGCGCUCACCAGCAACUGAGCCGGGGCGACUGUGUGGGUGGAAAUAUGAAAGGCAGAAAUCUAAAUGUGUCUGACACAGUGUCCGCCGAGCCUCGCCGGAUCCCUCUGAGGACUCCCGGUCGACUGGCUGCAGAGGCGACUCUCCAUCAGCAGCUCUGCUCCUCCGGGCUCCAGGAAUAACAGCUAAUCAAAACCUUUCAUCCUGAUGUCUGCUGAGGGACGGAGGAGCCUCUCAUCAUCCCUGACUCUCGCUGCCCCUCAGCUCCUCACUAUGAAGGGUGAGAGACUGUAAAUUUAAGUCCACUGCCUCGCCGCCAAUCACUCACACAGCUCUGCACUCAGUUUGUCGCUCAAAUGCAACAAUAAAAGAAAAAUGCUCCGUCAUUACACCUUCACGGUCUGAGACGCCUGUAACUUGACAUUUCAGCGUGUUUCUUAGUUUCAUUUUUAAUUAAAUCUGAAUGUCACGA
Long non-coding RNA from Solea solea (common sole), 816 nucleotides. RefSeq lists it as uncharacterized. The transcript is spliced from 3 exons. Lineage: Eukaryota; Metazoa; Chordata; Actinopteri; Pleuronectiformes; Soleidae. The record is from RefSeq and is a predicted model, not a curated record.